UUUUUUUUUUUUUAGGUUUUCAAUCUGUUAGCGUGAAACUUGUGUAACCCCUCUGCGUAGAGUGGUUCAGGUUGCGCUUGGUUUUGUUCUUUUAAGUUUCAUCACAUGGUGAUUACAUUAAGUUAUUUUAAGGUAUCUCUACAUGGCUUAAUUCUCAUGUGACCUUUCUAGGGCAAGUUAUGUAUAUGUAAUCCCAUUAUUUACUGAAUACAAAGCCGUACGUUAUUUUUAGCUAUCUUGGGCCAACGACCCAUUAAGCUUAUAAUAGAUGGAUCCACAAUUGAAAUAACAAAGCAGCCCAAACCCGACUGCGAUCUGCGAUCUCCGUAUCUCAGUUUCUCACUAUCAGACUGAGAUAGUAUCAGUCUCUGCCAAAUGCGAGGUCUCCGCCGUCGCCCGUCGAUUGUCGUUGACCGUCGUCAUCGUCUCCCGUCCCUGCCGCUCGCCGAGAUGGAUGGGUGUCUGCUUGAGAUCGAGGUUGGCUUCGAAGGAGGAGAAGUUCUCAUACAGCGGCGAGGUCGGCUUCAAGGGAGGCAUGACAUAUCUUGCAGAGGAGAUCGCCGAUGUGUUGAGAUUGAGAUUUAAAAGUUGAAUUGAGAUUUUUAUUUUGAGAGGAACUACCGCAACCAAAACGAGCUCCCAGCAAGAUGAGAAAAAACUUACCUUCUCCUUUGAGAAUCUCGCUGCCUCUUCUCCCGGUAUGAAUUUUUUCGUUCAAUUUUUCUCGUAUGCUUUGGGAUUUUUCAACAGUUUGUUGCGAAUGUUUUUGAUAAAAAUAUGAUUAAGGAUUGUGAAAAAUAUCUGUUACUUUAUAAUCUCAGAUGUGAAAGUUGUUGUUGUUGCUCUUGUCAGGUACAAAGAAACUGUUGGGUUCCAGAUCUGGAAGAAGCGAUGGAAAAGGCUACACGGCAUCCGAUGGUUCUAGGUUUUUUUUUUUCCUCAUCUUAUGUUUUGAGAUUUUCUGCUUAAUUCGUUCCCGUUUAGUUUAUUAAGUUGUUCCCUAUGUUAGAAUAAUAUUAGUAAUAUCAUUGUUAUAUUGUAUCUGAUAGAGAUCUGAAAUUUGUUUCUCCCUGCCGUGUGGAUCAUAGUUGAAAACUCUGCUAUUGAAUCUAACUUUUGUUUUGGUUAGUAAAUUUGAGAUUGCUUUCUCUACUAUGUGCUUUAUUGCUUUUAUUACAAUCUGGUGUUUGUGUAAUUGGCUUUUACAAACCCCUAUGCGUGGAUUUGUUGCUGGAAUUUAUGUAAAUUUUGGUAAAGCUAGAUUCAAAAGUGAUAUCCCAGGACUUAUUUAAUUGGUAUAAUGUUGCAUAAAGUCAUACAAUCAUUUAAGAUUCUGAUUUUCUUAUCUUUUAUGGGUAUCUAACAACGGAACAUAAACAAACAGGCUCCUAUCCUCCCACCCCGUUCAGAUCGGGGUUCAUAGUGCCGAAUCCUGAGGUGCACUAUAAACAAACAGCUGCCUAUAUUCGAGUGGGGGAUGAAAGUUCCAAAGAGCUAGCCAAGUUUGAAGGACCCGGAGUACCUUAGUGUGCAUGAGAGCAACACUGAGGCUGAGCUUACUAAGUAUUUCAUGGGAUCAUGUCACGGGACCACAGUUUUUUGGAUACGCCGUUCGCCAACAGAGCUACUAGUUGGUGUUGAUUCACUAGAGAGUCAAACAUAUACAGGUACAUUCAAAUUGCUUUAUGUAUAUGUAUAUGUUUAAGUGAGACUUAAUAAUGUUCACGUAUUUAUGUUUGAUUUCUAGUGGUUAAUCCAAAACAUAAGAGAAAAAAUUAUGAGCUUUCAUGAUCAAAAGUUUAUAGAGAUUGUUCCAAAUGUUUAUGUCACUCUAUGUGGAGAUGCUAGAAGAUGAAGGACUAUGUCAAUGAACAAAUGAAAGAGCAUAACAAAAAAAGUCAAAUGUCAUUUACUGUUGCUCAAGUUGGCAGGGUUUCCAUUGAGUAUUUUUAUGAGUCUCCAUUGGAUCCUGUAAAGGAGCACAUUUCUUUAGUUCACUUAUGUUUUUGGAUUCCUGAUAAACAUGUAUGUGUUUUGAUAUAGAUUUUUGUUUGUGAAUUUAAUCUAUAACCAAUUUUUGAAAUAUCUCAUAGACAUAUAUUGAGUGUUAAACCUUGGGUGAAUAUAUGUCUAUGAGGUAUUUCAAAAUUGGUUAUAGAUUAAAAUUCACAAACAAAAAUCUAUAUCAAAACACAUACAUGUUUAUCAGGAAUCCAAAAACAUAAGUGAACUAAAGAAAUGUGCUCCUUUACAGGAUCCAAUAGAGACUCAUGAAAGUACUCAAUGGCAACCCUGCCAACUUGAGCAACAGUAAAUGGCAUUUGACUUUUUUUGUUAUGCUCUUUCAUUUGUUCAUUGACAUAGUCUUUUAUUUUCUAGCAUCUCCAUAGAGUGGCAUAAACAUUUGGAACGAUCUCUAUAAACUUCUGAUUAUGAAAGCUCAUAAUUUUUUCUCUUAUAUUUUGGAUCGACCAUUGGAAAUCAAACAUAAAUACGUGAAUAUUAUUAAGUCUCACCUAAACAUAUACAUAUACACAAAGCAAUUUGAAUGUACCUGUAUAUGUUUAACUCUUUAGUGAAUCAACACAAACUAGUAGCUUUGUUGGUGAACGGCGCAUCUAAAACACGGGUGGUCCCGUGACAUGAUCCCAUGAAAUACUUAGUAAGCUCAGCCUCAGUGUUGCUCUCAUGCACAAAGGUACUCCCGGGUCCUUCAAACUUGGCCAGCUCUUUGGAACUUCUAGAUCGCUGAUCACAAAACACAGGGAGACCAAUAAUUAGAUAAAAAAUAUGUAUAUUAUAUCACUGCUAAGAGUAGAGUCAUUAUUUCAUGGACGAAAAGACGCUGAUUUUCUGGAAGGUAAAAUGACAUACCCCUUGAGACAUUUCUCCUUACACAGAUUAAUAUACUCAUCUGUAUAUUUGUUUAAUAUAUUGUCCAUGCGAUCCAACACUGGGAUGUCCUCUAUAGGCAUUAUGUCCCAAAUCUUCAAUACUUGAAUGUAUCUUAAAUUCUUUGCUAUGUCUGUUGUGCAAACAAUAUAUAGGUCUUCAACCUUAAAUUUCUUCAGGUUCAGUGAAGAGUUACCACAAAGUAUAUCUGAACUUUGCAUCACUGGCAAGCUUUAGUAGAACAUUUAGCACUGACUGACUUCAGUUUCUUGAAUGACUUCAAAAAGUCAUCGCUAAAAAGUACCUGAAGAUUUAUUAUAGAGCAGAACAUCCAAUUUCAGAAACUUUUGAUAUAUGCAAUCAGGUUCUUAGAAAAUUAGGGUCGAUCAAGAAGUAACAAAAAUCAAUAUCUUCAAUUACCUUCCAUCUAGCUCUUCUUGAAAGUACACUGUCAGAAUUUAGCAAAUCAUCUAGUUGGUCGAACUGUUUCUUCAGUUGUAGUAUGGCCUUUUGGCUAAAUCCUCGUCUUCAUCAGCAUUAAAAAAGCAUUGGCGAUUUUUGGCAUCAAGAACCAAGGCCUCCCAAACAGACUCGCUGUCACAGAGUUUUUUCACUCCUCAAAAUCCACAGGCAGUGCCUGAAAACCUCAGAGAAUCAGUAGUUAUUUCCAUCAAGCUAUUACACCGGCUUAUGUAAAACAUACCUUGCCCUUUGUAAGAGCAACAUUAAUUAUCCGCGGUUUUGAAAUAUACUCAAGUGACUGUUGACAAUUGGAUCGUACAGUGGAAAAUAUAAUGAUGUCCUCUUCCCAACCCUGGAACCCGUCAACUGUCUUCACUUUCACUAUGAAUCCAUGAUCCAUCAAGAUUAUUAUAUUUCCGUCCAAGUUUGUCCUCGAUUGCCUCUACUUGAGCAGCAUAUGGAGAAAUUACACCAUUACUCUGAUUCUGUUUUGAAUCAACCCGUUCUGUUUACAAAGAGAAAACGGAAAGCGAUCAAUUGUCAUUAUGAGAAGAUAAAGGUGAUAGAAUUUCUACAGUUAUGUGCUCGUUUGAGAAAAUGAUUAGAGGAAUUAUACUGCCACAUGCUUAAUGGGUCAAAAUCUGCAUUUCUACUAAAGGAUUAUGAUAGAUAAAUAAAUAAACCAUAUACCAUGAUCAUGCAUCAGAAGAAGAAAAAGGAAAAAAAAAAAAAAACUAAUUCAGUCUUGUAAACUAUAUAUAUUGACCACCUAAAAUGGUACCAGUCCCACCAUAAACCAUCUGCAUUUCUAUUGCAAUGGCUUGUGUUUCGAUUACGAUUACACCAGAGAACAGACCUACAAUGAGAAAGGUUUUGAGCAUGAUAAGGGAUUCGAGGGCAGAUGCCAUAGUGUCUUCGAACAGCAGCAGUGAUCAUUCUCCGGGGAAAUGGUCAGAUACUGUUCAGAGCUUUUCCUAGGGAAGAACACCUGAGCAUUUGAUUCAGCCAGCUAGCUGUGCAUAACAAUAGAAGUGAACGCGGUAGACUAACAUGUAGGUUAUUCCAGGGUCCGGUAUUGUCUCGAGAACAUUUGAAAUGUAGUCGGGCAUGGGAGUGGUUAUUUCUGAUUAUGUGUGGGAGUGCCUUAUGUGUGGGAAUGCCAUCGGAGAAAAGAGGGAGGUGUUUCUUGUCAGGCAGUUGCAUCAAGCUUUGGUUGAAACCUAUCAUGCAAACUGGAGGAAGUUUUUGACUACAUUGGACCUAAUUGUUUCUCGUAUCUUAUUGAACACCUUCGGAUGUUGGUAUACUACUUCCAAGGUAAUGUUGUCACUACCAAAUCAAGUUUCAUUGAAUGGUUGAUGCAGAACAGAGGUAUUAACAAAUCCUUGAAUUUUGGGAUGUGAUUUGAUGUGCGAGGGAACAUAUAUAUCACCGAACAACUACCAACAGAUUAUAGUCCCAACUGAGGCUAAAAAAAAUAAAAAAAAACAAAACAAAACAAAUCCACAACAUCGAGCGGGGUUAGCAACUUAUAGCACCAAAGCAAUUCCAUAGAAAAACAAACAAACAAAUCCUACAGAAGAUAGUAAAUAGCAAAUUUCAGAUACUGUUAGAGGUGCCUUUAAUUACAGUGGCAUUAACCUUACAUUAACCAAAUCCUCUCUGGUGCAACCGGUCUAUUUUCCAGAAAAGCAAACAAAAACUAAUCGGAAGCUUAUUCCGUAAACACAGUAAACUUGCCAUCUUUCAUGCAUGUGUCCACAAACACAGGAGUUGAAACAGUUCCUCAUGGUGCUCUUAGAGAACAGACCACAUCAUAUGGAAUCAUGUUUGCCCUGACAAAGAUAAUGGGUCUCUAAUUGAUUUAGACUCGGCAGCAAGAACCUUGUCCUUGGGGCAUUCAUGGGUGCUGUGCUGUUUCCAGCUACUAUCACAAAUGGAACAAUACUUACGCUUCAGCAGUGCUCUUCUCCCAGUACAAUAGGUACAAACCCACUUUUCCUCAUUAAAUUCAUUACCACAGCAACAAAAUAUUUCAUAGUUGUCACGGUCAAAAGCUGCACCCUGUGGGAUAAGGCGAAAGUAAGGGCAAUAAAAGGUAUGGUGAAGAUACUGAUAACAAACUUCACAAGGCACGCUAGGGCAAUAAUUAGGGUAGUGACGGUCGUGACAAAUAUUACAAAGCACGUAAGGGCAAGAAGGACAAGGAGGGUGCUCCUUAGAACACUCAUUGCAAGGCACACAUGGUCUUUUGUGUUUAUAAGCACCUUCGCCCGACACUGGUCCUCUGAUCACAGACCCCAAGACAUCAGGAAUAUCGGUUGCUGUUUGUUUGCAGUUCAUCACCUUAGAACCCUCAUCCUCAUUAAUGCGAGACAAUGCGAACUGGGACAUGUCUCUGUAAAAAUCAUCUUCACCCCCCAUUGGAACAUAGGCGGCUUUUUGUUCGCGGUUCACCUUAGAAUCCUCAUUGUAAGGCCCCAUGAACUCUGACCUGAAUGGGACGGGGGUAUAGGAACCUGUUUGUUUCAGUUCCAUUGUUAGAUACCCAUAAAAGAUAAGAAAAUAAGAAUCUUAAAUGGUUGUAUAACUUUAUGCAACAAUAUAAGUACUGGUAUGUGUGUGUGUCCCUAUUAUAUAUCUGUCUUAUCAGUCAUGACUCAUGAGUACGUCUAGCUUUGCUAAACGUACAUUACAUAAAUUCCCGGAACAAAGUCGAGCAUAGGGGUUUGUAAAAGCCAAUUACACACGUACGUACACCAGGUUGUAAUAGGAGCCAGAAAGAACAUAGUAGAGAAAGCAAUCUCAACAUUAUAACUACUAUGAUCCACAUAUGCAGCAGGGAGAAACAAAUUAACAAGACAAAUUUCAGAUCUCUCUCAAAUACAAUAUAGCGGGAUAAAAUCACAGUUACUAAUAGUAUUCUAACACAAGGAACAACUUAACAAACUAAACGGGAACGACUUAAGCAGAAAAAACCUCAAAAGAUAAGAUAAGAAAAAAACCUGAACCAUCGGAUGCUGUGUAGCCUUUUCCAUCGCUGCAUUCAGAACUGGAACUGAACGGUUUCUUUGUAUCUGACAAGAUCUAAAUUCCGGAUUAGCAACAACAAUUUUCAGAUUGAAUUCGAAAGUAACACAUACUUUCACAAUCAUUAAUCAUAUUUUCAUCAAAAACCACGAAAUAGGGUUCCCUUGAGCAGAGACAGUUUUUAACAAACUGUUAUUUGAAAACAAACGGGUAAGAAGCAAACGAACCCUAAAAAAAGAAGAAGAUAGAGUAUAACUUGUUUCAGAUCACAGCAAAAUUAUACGAAAAGAGUUCAUACCAGGAGAAGAGGCGUCGAGAGUCUCAAAGGAGAGGGCUAACUUUUUUACAUCUCCCUGAGAGCUCGCGUCGGAUGCAGCCAUACUUUCUAGGGUUUCGAUUCAAUUAGAGCGCCAAAGAACAAUGCUAAUGCCUAAAGGGUUUCUUACGCCUUUUGUUUCCAAGAUCGCAGUGGGCCGGGUCAAGUCGCACGGUUUGGGCCGGGUUCUUCAAUUUCCGAAUACCAAUAUGUUCCCCCGCCCUGAAAUGUCCAAGUGUCUAACUGUUAUUGGCUCACAAGAUUUACACGCAUGGCAGAAAUCCACUGGGAUAAGGUAUAUAUAGACACACAUGACUUUGAGUUCUUCCUCUGUUCAUUCAAACCUUAUCUCUCCAAUGGCCAUCUCCAGUUCUUCUCCAAGUUCUGGAGACUGGUCAUCUUUGCCUUCUUUCAUAUCUUGCAGAAAAUCCCACAAAACACACAACCUCCAUUCCUUCUUUUCCAUUCCCAGAUGGACCAAUCUUCGAGCUAAUUUCCAAGUCAUCAACUCCUCUAGCUGCCCUUCUCCAAUUCUCGAAGAUCAAUCAUCGACCAACUUGUCACUCAUAGACCUGAAACUUCAACAACAUCAGACCCCGGAUGCCGGAAAGUUGAAUGAAUUCCUAUGUGAGCUGUUUCAAGAUCCAGAGAAGGAAGCAAUGGGGUAUGAACAGUAUGAGAAGGCCAAGAAGGUCGCAGAAUUCAGACCAAACAAGUCAACAUUGGAGCAUGUAACGAGGUAUUUGGUACGAUCCAAGAAAUGGGAUUCAAUUCUUUCGGUUUGUACUGAUUUCAAGACUUAUGAUUUGCUGCCUGAUAGAUAUACAUGUUCUAGAUUGGUUACUAGCUGCAUUAGAGCUAGGAAGUUCAAGGUUGUUAGGACUUUGCUUCAAGUGUUUAAGUCUGACGGCGAUGUUGCUCUGCCGGCCUUGGAUUCCGCAAUGAGAGGCUACAAUGAGCUUCAUAUGUAUAGAAGUACAAUGUCUGUGUUUGAAGAAAUGAUAUCUGCUGGAAUUGGACCGGAUUCCGGGUGUUAUUGUAGGAUAAUGGAAGCUUAUUUCAGAAAAGGUGACCAUAAAAAAGUUGUUGAGUUAUUUCAGGAUUUGAAAAGUAGGCAAUUAGAUUUGACACCAUUGUCAAUUCAGAUUCUAUGCCAAUCUUUAGCCAAAUUGGGGAAGCCUCUAGAAGCUCUAGAGAUUUUUCGAAGUGUGACAAAGGAAGGCGUUUCUUUAGACUCUUCAAAGAUAUAUUCUGUUUUGAUUAGUUCAUUUGCGAGCAUUCGAGAUGUGAAGGUGGCUGAAGAGCUAUUCAAAGAAGCAGAAACCAAGAAAAUGUUGAGGGAUCCGACGGUGUUUUUGAGACUGAUCACAAUGUAUGUUGAAGAAGGGUUGCUGGAUAUGACUCUUGAAGUAGUUAAGGCAAUGAAGGGUGCAAAUAUCAGAGUUUCGGAUAACAUAUGUUGCGCAGUUGUGAGUGGCUUCUCCCGGAAAAGCACGCUUCUGAAUGCAGUUAAAGUGUUUGAAGAUUUGAUCUUAAUGGGAUGUGAACCCGGGCAGGUAACAUACGCUUCAGUAAUCAAUGUGUAUUGUCGUCUUGGGCUUUAUUCUAAGGCUGAGAUGGUAUUUAGGGAGAUGGAAGAAAAAGGAUUUGAUAAAUGUGUGGUGGCGUAUUCAAGCAUGGUUGUUAUGUAUGGGAAGACAGGAAGGCCAAGAGAGGCAAUGAGGCUUGUCGCCAAGAUGAAAGAAAGAGGGUGUAAGCCAAAUGUGUGGAUCUACAAUUCUUUGAUGGAUAUGUAUGGAAGGGAUAAUAAUACGAGGCACGUUGCAAAGCUAUGGAGCGAAAUGAAGAGAAGGAAGGUUGCACCAGAUAAGGUGAGUUACACUACUGUUAUAGGUGCUUAUAACAAGGCAGGGGACUUUGAAAUGUGCCUGAGGUUUUACAAUGAGUAUAGGAUUCAUGGUGGUGUUUUGGAUAAGACCAUGGCUGCAAUGAUGGUUGGGGUUUUCUCCAAGAGUGGUCGAGUUGACGAGUUAGUGAAGCUUCUGCGAGAUAUGAAAGCAGAAGGAACAGGACUAGACGUGAGGCUUUAUCGGUCUGCCUUGAAUGCUUUGGCAGAUUCUGGUCUGGAAAUGCAGGUGAAAUGGUUGCAAAGUAGCUUUGAGGUGACAUAGAAAUAGAGGGCUUGAUUGUAUAGUGUACAAAAUCCCAGUGCUUGGCGAAGGCACUCGUUCAAGUAUGUUCUCUACUAUUAGAACCUCGGGAGUUCUUUGUAUUGGAAAUUGAAAUUGCAUAUAGAAAAAUUUGUUAUACUCCCAUCAUUUUCAUGUAGGUAACUGAUAUUUGAAUGUGGAAUAUACACUUAAAAGUACAAUUUUAUCGUCUUCAAUAACUUUAAAUUUCUUUAGAAGAUCCGGGAAGAACUUAUUUUCAUAUCCAUGGAAUUUAUUUUAUAAACUACAAACAUAUAAAGCACCGUAUAAGUUUUACAAUUGAAUGAAUCAAUGGAACAAGACAUUGCUCUUUUUCGUUGCUUUGCUGCUGACACUCUGGCGUAUGAAGGCUCAGAUUUCAGUUGAGAGCACUACAAAUCCUUCUUAUCUGCCCAUUUGAGCCAGUGAGAGGGUUAAUGUCUCCCAUCUUGAUCAUGGCAGCCGCAAAAUCAGCCUUGAAGUUUGCAGGUUUGGAGCUAUACUCCGAGACAAUGCUGUCUGUGGAUCCUCCACUAAAGAGAACUUGAUCGGAUGCAAGAAGACCCUUCUUCUGGAUCAAGUUCUUGAAGUAGUUGUUGUCCAGUUGAUUUGGUGUCACCAAAUCAAGUGCUGCCAAAUUUGCAUCACCAUCAUUAGCUGCUGCGGGACAAGUACGUCCGCGAGUACGAGCAAAGUUAGCAUCAAUGUCACUGGUGUUGCUGUAGAUUCUUCCGCGGAAUGUGAAGCACUGAGCUUGUCCGAUGGAAUGUGCACCUGAGAGCGCAACCAAGUCUCUGGCAUUGAGGCCUAAACCAGCAAACCUGUUAGUAAGGCUUUCAAGGCUGUCUAAGAAACUGGGAAGCGAGCUUCCAGCUAGGCUUUUGCUUGCUGUGGUCGAAUCCCUUCUUCCAAGCUUCACCGACCAGUCUGGACCUCCAACCUAUAUGUAUACAUAUUAUCAGUUCCAACAAGUAGAACAAGGGAAGCUAGAAGUUGGUGAACAAAAAAAUGAAUGAAUCAAGUACUCACAGCAACUGAAGCAUCCCUAGCAGCCACAGCGACGAUAUCUGCACAAGAAACUACACCAGGACAUAGUUUCUCCACUUCAGAUUUGGCAUUAUCUAUGACUCCAUAUCCUCUCACAGAGUUCAGAUUAGGCGGUGCGGUCUUUUCGCCUGUGAUGGAAGAAGUAUCGUCAAGUAAGAUUGACGCAUCACAACCCUGAAAACACAUGAGUACUGCACCGUAAGUUAUAGCUCAAAACGAAAGGCAUCAUUUAGUUGGUUAUAUUUAUAGGUUAAUUAGUACCUGAACAAAGCAGUCAUGGAAAUGCAGGCGGAUUAGGGAGGCUGCCAUCCGACGUUCAGCUGAGACUGCUGAUCGUAUGGAUUUUCUGAUCGUAGCGAGAGCGUUUGGACAUGCGUUGUCAUAAAAUGUUGAGGAGGAGAGCUGAGCUGAGCUUGUUGUGCUCAUCAGGGCAAGCAACAGCAGCAGUGCAAUAGAGGCAACAUUUACAUUUGAACUAAAAGACUUCAUCAUUGAACUUGAAAGUAAAAACUCCCCUACUCAAUACCAAAACCAAUUUACGUUUUGGAUGUGUAAAAACUUGUACUCGAAGCAACUAAUUUAAAACCCUAUGAAUUGCGAAUGAAGUUGAGGAAAUGAGAAGGAUUGAAGGUGAUGAAGAUUAAGGUUAUAUCUCGCAUGUAUUUAUAGGGCAAUUUUGAGUAAAGUAGACCUUAAGGUUUGCCCUGGUCACUAUUUACUGCUAACGCGUGCCCCUUUCAACAAUACCACUGUUCAAUUCUGAAAAUGACCCAUUCUGAUUUGGUAGGCAAAAAAGUCACCGUUUUUUACAUGCGUUAUCCUUUGACAAAUCUUAUCUGGAUCAAGUAAUAUGCUCUCAAACUGAUUAUGAAAGGUAAUCAUAUGCAAAUAAUAGAACUAGACCUCGCUAGUCAUUGUCUUACUGUAAUCAAAGUCUCUAAUUGUGAUUAAAGGUCAUAUAAACAGCUAAUCUGUUAUGCAUGCAUUUCUUUUCUUUUUUUUGGUCGUGUUAUGCAUGCAUUUGGGUAUCAUAUAUGUAAAGUCAGAAUAAAGAUUCUUGGCCUAUAUGGGUUGAACAUAGCAGGCCAUGCUUUGUUCUUGUUCAUAGUAUUUUUCACCAGUAUAAUAAUCCGAAAACGAAGAAUUAAACCACAAAAGGCCAGAGCUAGCGCAUAAUUCAACUCAUACAUAUUUGAAUCCCUCAACUCAUUUGACUAAUGCUCAAGCAUCCACCAAACUCAGCUUUAGCUGUAACUCAUAAUCUUGCUUAGAAGCUCUGAAGAUGUCAACAUGUUCUGCAAUCAUAUUUUACUAGUUCUUCUUAUUAUGUAUAUUAGCUGACUUUCUGAAAGUUACACAAAUGAUGACUUGGUACUUGCAUAGAAUUGUCUCUUCAAUACUCGUUCGCAUCACCAAAGCUAUAGUAAUCGGAGAAAUAAAUGCGGAACAGAAAUAGUCGUAGAGCAAUUACAACUCGAAUCGAAACAUAGCCAAUACUGAAGGUGAGCAAUUUCAUUCUUUCUUCACAUCAACACCAUCCACCGGCGGCAAUGACUGUACACACAAAGCAAACACAGAACCCAUCAUUUUUUUUAUACGAACCAAUUUCAUCAAACAUUUUUGUAAAGUCGAGUGAGGCAUUUCGUCGAACAGGUUACGUGCACUAAUUCAUAAUGAAAUUUUUUUGGAAGUAGAGGUAGUGAGAAAGAGAAGAGAGAUAGUAAGUGAGAUUACGAGAUCGGGUUUGUAGAGAUUGUGGACGACGGAGGCUCCGGCGAGAAGCGAAGCGACGACGACGACGCUGGACCAAGCCAGCGAGGGAGUGCCGGUCGGCAGUUUCCCUCCCCCGAACUUCUUAUUCAUAGGUGAAAUUUGAAAAGAGCUCAGUGACGUGCAACUAGAUAGUUUUCUUCGCCGGAACUUUGGUCGGAAAGAGUUGGUAUUCGCCGGACUGUUUUCUUUUCUGGUUAGACGAAGUGGUUAUUACAGUAUUACUUAUUGGGGAAGGCGACUUCAACGACGUCCUUUCGGGUCGAAUGUUGUUAAUGGGUUUCAAAGGGGAUCCGCCCGCCAGGGCAAAGUUAUCUUUGUUCUUGGGCUUGAUCUAAAAAUUAGUUUCAAGAAUCCUAUUAUGAUGCGAAAAUUUUACGACUUGAAAUGCAAGAAACAUAAGCGUUUAAGCUAACAAUGUAUUGCCUCGUAGUUUAAUAUAUUUGAUGUGAUUUAUAUGCUAAUUUUGUUGUAUACGGGACUCUUACUAUGAUUUGAAACACGUUUAGUAUCCAUAUUCGUGAUUAUUUGUUUAGAUGAAAUUGUUUUGGCCACGAUCCUCAGCGGGGAUACAGAGAUAACUUAGUAGUACCAAAAGUAAACAACGGGCGCAGGGUGUGCCACCGCGCGGACGCGGAAUGAGAACAGCGUGUGCUUGGCUUCUAAUCAAGCGAAAAUAGGGCUCCGGUGCCACCUCGCAGACGAGAGAUUACGAGUAAGCCUUUAUUCACCUGUGAAUCGAUACUCACUGUUAGAGCGAGCAGAGCAACUAAUCAAGAAGAAAAUGCGAGUCUGAACGGGCUCUGUAAACCAGAGCUAGAGAUGCUUUAGCACUUAGGGUUUUGAGGAGGCUCGAAGAUUUGUUUGUAGUUUAUAUGAUUUGAUUGUGUGUGUUGAAUAACCCUCGAGCCCCCUUUAUAUAGUGACUCGCGACUAGCUGAUAGAGAUGCAAUCACAAACCAAUUUAGACUCAACAAUUAGAAUGCCACAAGAACACGCCUUACUCGCGAAUUGCCUUAUCCAGACGACACGUGUCCAGUCGCACAACAGACUCCGCCUAGAUCACAAGCACUGCCUUCACGCUAUCCAACUGUAGUCCCCCAUGCGAACUCAAAUAAUGAGCAACCUUAUCUCGCGAGGUGCCACAAUCCUUGUCAAAAUCUAUCUCGCGCGCCUCCGAAGCUCGCGACUCUUAACGGCCUUUAUAUUAAAAAAAUAUCCCAGGUAUUGGCUCAAAUACUAUCCAAAAACUAUUACGUGGUCUUGGACCAAAAUAUCCACUCGGCUCAAACAGAAAUUUCUAAAUCAAAUGGUAUCUAAGAUGAGAAAGCUGCAAUAUAAAUGUACGGCAUUAUAAUCAUAUACAAAUCCAAGUUACAUAUAUCCAGAUGAUCUCCAAAUUGGAUGAAACUUUACAGGAAUGAUCUACACACUAUAUUCUAGACACAGAACAGUGGAGAUAUGAAAAUGUGACUUAAAAAUGAGCGAAAUGAGAAACACCACACUUUAAUUUUAAAAUUGUGUCCCUCUCGGGAAGAAAACUGUAUAGAUCAAUAAAUCAUCAUACUUAAAACACGACAUCACCUUCAUAUAUAUUCGAACAUUUGCCAAGUUUGAUUAAUCCGAUCCCUUGUAUAGAGGUGUACGUACGUGCUUAAAGCUAGCUGGGUAUAGUCAUGACAGGUCACAAGUACAUACUGUGGUGAGUCACUUUCCCGAGUUUGCUCAACCAUGGAAUGAGCAGCAGCAUGGGUUUCUCAGUCUCACACACAUGGGAUAUCUGCAUUUUACAGGUACUCUCUACUCACAUUUAUGAAGGAUCGAUAGAAUUCGAGAUGACAAUACUUUAAUAUCCAAGAAAGUGACAAGACUUGUACCUUGCCGAGAACAUGAUUAUAAACAACUAAUGAGAACAUGAUGAUGAACUUAAAGCAUUACAGAAUCGUGUGGGAAAGAGUUGGAAUUGUCGGCCGGAUUGUUUUCUCUGGUCUCCGGCAAAGACGAAGUGUUAUUGGGGAAGUUGAUUUGUGUUCUUAAUGGGUUUCAUAUUUGGAAUCAAGCCCGCCUAGGGAAAUCUAUCUUCCUUUGUUAUGGUGCUUGAUCAGGAUUUCUUUACAGUGCAUCUGGUUAUGAUUUGAAAGCACAUAGAGCAUCAUUACUGGUAAUUAUUUCUUCAGAUUGCUAAAGGAAGGAUGCAUACUCAAAACGCCUGCUAAAAAGAAAGAACCGAAGUGCGGCAUUACAAUCCUACACAAAUCCAAGCUACAUAGAUCACCCAACCUUAAAACACAGCAAGUAGACACAAACAUCAUUUAUUCUAAACACGUAGGUACGCUACAAUUAUAUGCAUCCUUCUUGCAUUGCUAAUUACUCAUUAACAGUGUUUGGUGCAGAAGCAUCUGCGGCGAAGACCGCGGCAGUCGCCUCCACUGAAGCCCUCAGUUUUGCAAACAGAUGCACAGUUGGUCUCACUCAAGCAAGUUCCCUUGAACUUGUGGCUCAGACUCUCACAAGUUCUUGCUUCUGCGACCAUUGUAUUUGGCCCCAUUCCUACAUACAGUUUAAACACACACAUUAGUAUUCAUACAUAAAGUUCAUUUACAUCUAGAGAUCAAAACAGUCAGUAAAUAUCAGAAGAAUGUAGAUAUUGAUUAUACCAGUAGCCACCAGAAGCAGAAGAGCGACGAAGACAGCCGAAAACAUACGCAUGAAACUCUCCAUUAUCUUCUUGUUCUUAAUAGCUCUUAACUGUGUAUAGGUGUGUUGAGGAUGAGAUGAGAUUACAAUGCAAGCUUACUAGCCUUUAUAUAGAAGCUGUCCACUAAUUAAGCUAGCUGAGUCAUCCGAAAGAUCGAGAAAGCCAUAAUGGUAAAAAGGAGGGAGGAGCUGGGGACGAGUCAUGAAUGGCGAGUAGGGUAUGGUCUGCACUAACAUCACUGCUUUUUCUGCUUUUUUUGAUUCUAGCGAACCACACGUUUGUGAAUUGUGUCAAUUCAAGCUCCAUUGAGUUGGCAAACCUGCAAUGAAUUACUGAAUACUGACUCAUUCUGCAAAGUUAGCUCAAUCAUGCAUGAAUGGGUAACAUGGUCUUCUCAAACUAGCUAGGGAUAUCACCGUCAACCAAUGUUGUACAUAUGUGAAGGAUAGAAUUCCAGAUAACAAUAGUUUAUGGUAAAGAAAGUCAUGAACUCAUGAUACACGUAGCUAAUGAUAAUGAAAUAUGUUUAGAAACCUAAAGGUGUACUCAACUACAUAAUAAGAACAGGGUAGAGGCUGCUUAUAGCAUUACAGAAUCAUAGGUGGUGCAGAAAAUGGAAAAGGAAUUUAGCCCAACAAUGGAAAUCUACCUUUUAGAAAAGAAAGAUAACACAGAUAUUGAAAGUGAGGAUCAUGAAUUUGACUUGUGUCUACCGACAUUGAAGAUUUUAACCUUACACGUACAGUAGCCAUAGUCACCCUAUUUCUUUCUGAAAGCAAAGCAUCUUAGCCAAAUACAACUUUCCUAUUUUUCUCUUUUCUUUGUUACAAAAUUUCUACCAUUCUAAUGGAUAUAAUAUACUGUUUAUUAUCAGCAAAGAACUGAUGGAAAACUGAGAAGUAAGAACCAACCCAAAAUUAAUCUUGACAACAAGACUACAAGAGAAGAAAUAGAACAAUUAAAUUUCUGAUAUAUAAUAGCUAGUAUGCUUCUACAUCAGAGAAAACCAAACAUAUGAAGAGAAAUAUAAUUUUCUUGAUUGAAGUAGAUGAUUGAUGACAAAGGAGAAUACAUGUUUAAACUACUACAGUACUACAAUCAGAGAUGCUAGCUAGCUAGACUAGGAUUUUGUCUUCAUCUAUUUGCUCUAGGUUUGUCUUGGCUUGUAGCAUAAGGAUGGACCUUGUGAGCAGAGCACGGUGGCAUUUGCAUGCAUACUAUUGUGUUUCAGAUAUGGACUGCUAUUUUUUUUUUUUUUUCCGAUUAAUGGUAUGCUGCUGGUGUAUUGCAAUCCUAUAUGCUUAUCAGUAAUAUAUAUAGUCGAAAAAGAUUCUAUAUAAAACAUGCAUACAAGGUAAACUAAAGGCUUAUUUGGUACAUUUUUCCCUAUCAGCUUGGGUUCCCCCAAACUUCUUCCUUAGAGAUUCUACUUCUUCAUCUUUCAACGUCGUAAAUAAUGUUUUGGGUUCCCCAAUCUUGUGACCAUCAGCUACAAUCUCCCAAGGCCGUUUUGAUUUAUUGACAUCACAAAGGGAUUUGAUUGACUCAUGAGGCAAGUUCAGCUGCUCAAGUACCCUAGCAGAAAUGGAAGGCAUGUACGGUUCCAAUAAGAAAUCAAGAAGAUGCACUAACCCUACUGAAGUUUUGAUGACAAUAGAGCACCGAGGCCGGUCCUCCUUGUAGAGCUUCCAGAACUGGGAUCCUUGGAGAUAUGCAUUCCCCUCGCUAGAAAUACUCAUUGCUAAUUUAAGCCCUUGCUUUAGUUUGAGCUUCUCCAUUGCUUCCAUGUAUUGCUCUACAUGUCUGCCGACUUUUUCUGCUAACUCAACUGUCAAAGCAUCAGAGUCUGCACCUGCAGCCUCAGGAAUUAUGCCACCAUAUCCUCCUGAAGGUUUAGCAAUGAAACUCAAAACUCUGUUGAUGAAGUCGCCUAAAUUACCAACCAACUCACUUUUGAGUUUUGUUUGUAAAUCGGACCAAGCAAACUCAGUGUCGGAUCCCUCAGGCCUAUUAGUCAGCAAGUAAUAGAGCCACACUUCAACUGGAAUGCCUGUGAGUUUUGCAUCGUUUCCGAAAACUCCAAUGCCUCUACUCUUAGAAAACUUGCCUUUUUCAUAGUUUAAGUACUCAGUUACACUGAUAUUGUUCAUGAGUGUCCAAUUUUCUCCGGUUCCAAGAAGCGCUGAGGGGAACAUGAUUGUGUGAAAUGGCACAUUGUCCUUCCCCAUGAACUGACACAAUUCGACAUUCUCGGGAUUCUUCCACCACUUCUCAUACUGAUCAGGAGUGUAGCACUUAGUAAUGGAGAUGUAUCCAAUAGGUGCAUCGAACCACACGUAAAAUACCUUGUCUCUGAAGCCAUCGUGUGGAACUGGAACACCCCACUUGAGAUCCCUUGUAAUGCAACGUUGUUUAAGCCCCUCGUUGAGCCAUGCUUUUGUGAUAUGAACCGCAUUCUGGCUCCAACACCCUUUCUCUGAUGCUACAUUGAUGUACUCUUUCAACCUAUCCUUGAGCAAAGGGAGGUCCAGAAACAAGUGACUUGUUUCGCAAAUCCGCGGAGCUUCCUUGCAAACCUUGCAUUUAGGAUCUUCUAAUUCGAUCGGAUUCAAGAGCUAUCCACACUUGUCACACUGGUCUCCUGGGGCAGAAUCAUAGUGACAUCUAGGACAUGUCCCCUCCACGAACCGGUCCGCUAAGAACCUGUUACACUUGUCACAAUGGAGCUGCUGGAUUGAGUUUUCGGCAAGGCAGUCAUUGUGCAACAGUUUCUUGAAAAUGUCUUGGCAGACCUCAGUUUGCUGUGGCGUGGAAGUUCGUCCGAAAUGGUCAAAGCUUAUGUUAAACCACUCAUACACCUCCCUAUGGAUUUUGUGGUACUUGUCACAUAUCUGUUGGGGGCUGCACUUCUCUUCCAAGGCUUUGGUCUCCGUAGCCGUGCCGUACUCGUCGGUACCGGAGAUAUAGAGGGUAUUGUAUCCCCGGAGACGGCAGUACCGAGCAAAGACAUCGGCGCGCUCAAGAUGCAGCCGAUGAUGUUGCCGAGGUGGGGGACGUUGUUAACAUAUGGCAAGGCACUGGUGAUGAGGACGUUUCGCUCUCCUGGUAUUGGGAGCUUGGGGACUUUCUGGUCCUGCUUGGUUAGAUUUUCCAUUGUCAACUUUUAUAGCCAUUAAGUUGACCAAUUUACCCUUAAUUUCUCUUUUUUUUUUAGUUUUUUUAUAUUUGUUUUCAUAUUCCAAAAAUAUUAGAAGAGGUUUUAGAAUUUGAUAAUUCGGGUUGAUCUUUGUAAACUUGAAGAAGAUUGAAGAGAAACAUCCAGAAGUUUAAUCUUUGUUGUUUAUGCUGACACUCAAUCUUUGUUGAUCUUUAUAAACUUGAAGAGAAACAUACAAAAGUUCAAUAUUUGUUGUUUAUGCUGACACUCAAGGAUCUUGUUGUUGCCGUUGACAAUGAAGGAUAAUUGAGAUGAAAAAUUGAUUAUUAACAAGGAGAAAGUGACGAUGAAUUUUUUUUCUACGUUCCUAAAAAUAUAAAAAAACCAAAAAAGAAAAUUGGAAUAUGAAAACAAAGAAAAGAAUUUAAGGGUAUAUUGGUCAUCUUUUUUUGGUUUGAGGGUAAAUUAGUCAUCUUAAUAGCUAUAUAUACUAAUCUUAGGUCGGGAUGGAAACAUGAAAUACCAAUCUAAUAUUUUUAAAACUUGGUAUACCAAAGUUUAUAAGGAGCAAAAGUUUGUAUAUCAUUCAGACGAAUUUCUCUUACAGAAAUGAUCUAUACACUAUAUUCUAGAUACAGAACGGUGGAGAUGUGAAAAUGUUAUCUAAAAGUGAGCGAAAUGAGAAGCACUACAUUUUAAUUUGAAAGUGGUAUCUCUCUCUGGAAGAAAACUGUAUAGAUCAAUAAAUCAUCAUACUAAAAACACAACAUCACCUUCAUAUUCGAAUAUUUGCCAAGUUUGGUUAAUCCGAUCCCUCGUAUAUAGGUGUAUGUACGUGCUUAAAGCUAGCUGGGUAUAGUCAUAACAGGUCACAAGUACAUACUGUGGUGAGUCACUUUCCCGAGUUUGCUCAAUCAUGGAAUGAGCAGCAGCAUGGGCUCCUCAGUCUCACACACAUGGGAUAUCUACAUUUUACAGGUACCUCUCUACUCACAUUUAUGAAGGAUCCAUAGAAUUCGAGAUGACAAUACUUUAAUAUCCAAGAAAGUGACAAGACUUGUACCUAGCCGAGAACAUGGUUAUAAACCUAAAUGUACUCAAACACCUAAUGAGAACAUGAUUAUGAACUUAAAGCAUUACAGAAUCGUAUGGGAAAGAGUUGGAAUUGUCGGCCGGAUUGUUUUCUCUGGUCUCCGGCAAAGACGAAGUGUUAUUGGGGAAGUUGAUUUGUGUUCUUAAUGGGUUUCAUAUUUGGAAUCAAGCCCGCGUAGGGAAAUCUAUCCUCCUUUGUUAUGGUGCUUGAUCAGGAUUUCUCUUACAAUUUUUUUACAGUGCAUCUGGUUAUGAUCUGAAAGCACAUAGAGCAUCAUUGCUGGUAAUUACUUCUUCAGAUUGCUAAAGGAAGGAUGCAUACUCAAAACGUCUGCUAAAAAGAAAGAACCAAAGUGCGGCAUUACAAUCCUACACAAAUCCAAGCUACAUAGAUCACCCAAACUUAAAACACAGCAAGUAGACACAAAAAUCAUUUAUUCUAAACACGUAGGUACGCUACAAUUAUAUGCAUCCUUCUUGCACUGCUAAUUACUCAUUAACAGUGUUUGGUGCAGAAGCAUCUGCGGCGAAGACCGCGGCAGUCGCCUCCGGUGAAGCCCUCAGUUUGGCAAACAGAUGCACAGUUGCUUUCUCUCAAGCAAGUUCCCUUGAACUUGUGGCUCAAAGUCUCACAAGUUCUUGCUUCUGCAACCAUUGCAUUUGGCCCCAUUCCUACAUACAUUUUAAACACACACAUUAGUAUUCAUACAUAAAGUUCAUUUACAUCUAGAGAUCAAAACAUACAGUGAGUAAAUAUCAGAAGAAUGUAGAUAUUGAUUAUACCAG
RNAcentral lists this long non-coding RNA (19439 nucleotides) under Fragaria vesca (wild strawberry). RNAcentral describes it as "long non-coding RNA (FVES_LNC002120)". The record is from RNAcentral. Lineage: Eukaryota; Viridiplantae; Streptophyta; Magnoliopsida; Rosales; Rosaceae.